GAUGAACGCUGGCGGCGUGCCUAAUACAUGCAAGUCGAGCGAACGGACGAGAAUCUUGCUUCUCUGAUGUUAGCGGCUGACGGGUGAGUAACACGUGGAUAACCUACCUAUAAUACUUGGAUAACUUCGGGAAACCUGAGCUAAUACCGUAUAAUAUUUUGAACCGCAUGGUUCAAAAGUGAAAGACGGUCUUUCUGUCACUUAUAGAUGUAUCCGCGCUGCAUUAGCUAGUUGGUAAGGUAACGGCUUACCAAGGCAACGAUGCAUAGCCGACCUGAGAGGGGGAGAGGCCAAACUGGAAGUGAGACACGGACAAGAGUACUACGGGAGGCAGCAGUAGGGAAGCUUCCGCAAUGGGCGAAAGCAUGACGGAGCAACGCCGCGUGAGUGAUGAAGGUCUGCGGAUCGUAAAACUAUGUUAUUAGGGAAGAACAGAUGUGUAAGUAACUGUGCACAGCUUGACGGUAACUAAUCAGAAAGCCACGGCUAACUACGUG
RNAcentral lists this ribosomal RNA (497 nucleotides) under uncultured bacterium. Its description in RNAcentral is "partial 16S ribosomal RNA". It matches the Rfam family "Bacterial small subunit ribosomal RNA", at positions 28 to 507 of the family's 1533-position model. The record is from RNAcentral.